CAUGGGCCGGUGGCUGAGCCUCGGCUCCACGUGGAGAUGUUGGGAGAAGGCAGCACACAUUGAGGAGAAGCAAGGAGCACCACUCCUGAUGGUCCCCUCCAAAGCUCCACGAAACUUGUUAGCAAUCUUAGAUUAAAUUCAGAAAGUUUCUGGAUCACGACGAGAAGCUGUGUCCGGCACGAAGGUCCUGCGAACAGGCUCAAUCACAAGCUCUGCCAAGACGGGAGGUGACAGAGGCCCCAGAAAGCCAGUCCCCGACAACGCCAAUACUGCACGUUUAUCAGCUGCGGCAAGAGCUGGCUGGAGGCGGUGGCAGUACCUCAACGCUCUUGCCUCGUCUUCAAGAUUCUUCUGUUUGAUGUUGCGUCCUCACUGUUUCUCUCUUGAGGAGCUGUAGUGUGGCUCACAACCAUGCAAUGACUCUCCAGAUUCAAAGACCACAUCUCGCCCUCUCUAAAGCCCCCAGGUGCUCAGCACAGCACCGUGUGCAGAAAGGGGUUGAUGAGCAUUUGCUGAGCCGGGUGAUAAUGCCAUGGGCAUCGUUUCCCCUGCCCUCAGUCUCCAGCCUGCAGACGCCUGAAUGGAUUCUGGAGAGGUGUGUGUUGGACUCUGAAGGUCCUCUGAGCCCGUCCAGGAUAAAGAUGCUCUCUCCCAGGCGUCUGCUCAGCAGCCGGCUAUUGGCAGGACAUUCUGCACCAGGUAUCUUCAAGCUGCUUCCGGCUGGAUUUAGGGCAUGAUAGAAACAUCAGAACAACUGUAGUUCUGCCACGGGGUCCCACAUCUGCUCAUCCGGGGACAGCCACGCCGUCCCCACCCAGGAAGCCGCAGCAGGUUUCAGCACCCUGGAGAGGGUCAGACCCCAUGGGCUGGUCGAGCUCCUCAGUGUUAAGGGAGCAGCUCAGGAAGGUCCCGCCCAGGAUGAUAAGCGGAACAGGAAUGAAGUCAGCAGGUGGGCGGGAGGAACUUGACUCAGAGCAGUGGGAGGGCAGGAAGCGUGCUGGGGAGGAGCCCUUGAGGGGCCACCACCUGGGGAAGCCCCUGCUGUCCCAGGGACAAGGGAAGUCUCCUCCUUGAUUCCCCAGAAGGACAGCGUGGCUGCGGUCAAAUCCAUCCACGGGGCAGAUUUUCCCCAUGGCCCUGUCCCUGACCUUAGUGGCCCUCCCACAGGCAUGCCCUGCAGGGCUCAGGACACUGGCCCUCGAUGGGCCCUGAGACAGUGCCACGUGUGCGUGCACUGAUGAAGGUCAGGCUCUUUAUUGGAGGGAGGAGGAGCAGAAAGAGGAGAAGGAAACAUUAACUCCUAAAUCACAAGGCAGAAAGGAUUCCUUAAACAAAUCAGCCAAAUCUGUCUCCUAGGCGGUUCCAGACCUGUCUCCUCCCCUCCCCGUUUCUUAGGGUGCGGCAGGAACAUUAACCGGGCUCCACUGCACAUCCUCCUGGCCCUGGCCCUGCGCCCUUGGCCCCCGCACAUCUCAUGGCUGGCACCUCCGUGCGGGCUCUCAUUUCAUGUUUCACCUUCAAAUCAUCCUCUGUGAACACGUGUGUGCAUGCA
Long non-coding RNA from Nomascus leucogenys (northern white-cheeked gibbon), 1552 nucleotides. RefSeq lists it as uncharacterized. NCBI's taxonomy places the organism in Eukaryota, Metazoa, Chordata, Mammalia, Primates, Hylobatidae. The transcript has 2 exons. The record is from RefSeq and is a predicted model, not a curated record.